This 253-nucleotide ribosomal RNA is filed under the name uncultured bacterium. RNAcentral's name for it is "partial 16S ribosomal RNA". It matches the Rfam family "Bacterial small subunit ribosomal RNA", at positions 524 to 776 of the family's 1533-position model. The record is from RNAcentral.
UACGGGGGGAGCAAGCGUUGUUCGGAUUUACUGGGCGUAAAGGGCGCGUAGGCGGCGUGACAAGUCACUUGUGAAAUCUCCGGGCUUAACUCGGAACGGUCAAGUGAUACUGUCGUGCUAGAGUACAGAAGGGGCAACUGGAAUUCUCGGUGUAGCGGUGAAAUGCGUAGAUAUCGAGAGGAACACCAGUGGCGAAGGCGAGUCUCUGGACAUUUCCUGACGCUGAGGCACGAAAGCCAGGGGAGCAAACGGG